Molecule: ribosomal RNA, 253 nt
Filed under: uncultured bacterium
Lineage: Bacteria
Description: partial 16S ribosomal RNA
Rfam family: Bacterial small subunit ribosomal RNA
Source: RNAcentral
UACGGGGGGGGCAAGCGUUGUUCGGAAUUACUGGGCGUAAAGGGCUCGUAGGCGGCCAACUAAGUCAGACGUGAAAUCCCUCGGCUUAACCGGGGAAUUGCGUCUGAUACUGGAUGGCUGGAGUUUGGGAGAGGGAUGCGGAAUUCCAGGUGUAGCGGUGAAAUGCGUAGAUAUCUGGAGGAACACCGGUGGCGAAGGCGGCAUCCUGGACCAAUACUGACGCUGAGGAGCGAAAGCCAGGGGAGCAAACGGG